GGUCAUAGGCGUGAUAUCAUUGGCUGGAGCUCUGGGGAAUGACAUCAUGCGUAUGGCUGC
RNAcentral lists this microRNA precursor (60 nucleotides) under Sarcophilus harrisii (Tasmanian devil). RNAcentral's name for it is "Sha-Mir-489_pre stem-loop". The record is from RNAcentral. Lineage: Eukaryota; Metazoa; Chordata; Mammalia; Dasyuromorphia; Dasyuridae.